AUAUAUCAACCUCUUCAGCUUUUUGCAUGUUGAGUGUUGGAUGUGGGGGGGUAUUUUUGCUGGACUCUAGAAUGUGAGGUCAGCUCCCCUAAAAUGUAUCAGCGAAACAAUUUGUUUACCGCUCAUUGGUGUGAUAACUAUCUACGCUAUUGACGGUGAAAGCACGUUUAGCUCCUAACAGUCCAUUAGCUUGGACAACCUCUUAUUA
RNAcentral lists this unclassified non-coding RNA (208 nucleotides) under uncultured Cortinarius. RNAcentral describes it as "partial internal transcribed spacer 2". Lineage: Eukaryota; Fungi; Basidiomycota; Agaricomycetes; Agaricales; Cortinariaceae. The record is from RNAcentral.